UGGCCUACGGGGCGCAGCAGUGGGGAAUAUUGCACAAUGGGGGAAACCCUGAUGCAGCAACGCCGCGUGAGUGAAGAAGUCAUUCGUGAUGUAAAGCUCUAUCAGCAGGGAAGAAAAUGACGGUACCUGAGUAAGAAGCCCCGGCUAACUACGUGCCAGCAGCCGCGGUAAUACGUAGGGGGCAAGCGUUAUCCGGAUUUACUGGGCGUAAAGGGAGCGUAGGCGGACUUUUAAGUGAGAUGUGAAAUACUCGGGCUCAACUUGAGUGCUGCAUUUCAAACUGGAAGUCUAUAGUGCAGGAGAGG
This 305-nucleotide ribosomal RNA is filed under the name uncultured bacterium. RNAcentral describes it as "bacterial SSU rRNA". It matches the Rfam family "Bacterial small subunit ribosomal RNA", at positions 335 to 657 of the family's 1533-position model. The record is from RNAcentral.